GGGCAGAAAGCAUUAUUCUGUAGUGACACUAUGGUGAAAUAUGAAACGUAUUUCCUGGAAGUCUUUAAGGAAUUGAUUUGAUCAUGCAAAUUCAUUCUAUAAAUGUGCACAAUAUGAAUGGAAAUGAAACGGAGGCAUCUGUCCAGUAUUUUCGUCGCGAGCGACGGCGAAGCAGUAUCACAUGGAAUGAUUAUGUCAGGAUCAAAGCUUCUCUAAAACAAAUGAAGGAUCAGCGACGCACAGGACCUUCACGGUACCUCUCUUUUGAAUCGAACUGGAGAAUAUUUCCAAAUGAACGAAGCAAAGAAGAUUGCUAUAGAAUUUUGUUUUGGAUAAUAUUUGUUUUAUUAAUAGUGUUCAUCUGUUUUCUGUGUGUUUAUUCAAGAGAAUUCCUUUAACUGCCAGUCGAGUGUCCGUAAGUGCUUUUUGUUUACACCAGGAAGGUCAGAAAGAGAGAGAUGGAACCGAGAUUAAUUAAAUUCUUGUCGCCAUACUUACCAAAUUCUUUGUUUGUUAAAUAUUCUCGACACAAUGGAAUUUAUUUUUGGAAGCCUUAAGUAUAUUGGAAUGUAACACUGAAGAGACAUUACACCAUGAACGGGAAUGAAACAGAUUCGUCAGUACAAUAUUUCCGCCGAGACCGACGCCGGAGUAGCAUCACAUUCAACGAUUACGUAAGAAUAAAAGCAUCAUUGAAACAAAUGAGAGGACAGAGACGCCGGCCAGUUCGACAAAUGCCUUUAGAAAUAGAGGAGAAAACAAAAAUCGAUGUAUCAACUGAAUCAAUUCAGGAUAACGGAAUAGUGUUUUGGAUUAUUUUUGUUUUAUUAUUAACAGUGCUCUGUCUGUUGUAUAUUUAUUCAAAAGACUACCUGUAACAAAAAUCGUAAAAAGUUCUGUUUACCUUCAACAGGAACUAAUUUAACGAUCUGCCGUUGGUAAUUGGUUUUCUUUGUUCAGAGAAAUAAAACCGCAUUAGUAAAAUGAAAAUGACAGCAAUAUUCAUUUUAAAGUUAAUAAACGAACUAAUGGAUUCUCACGCUAAUCAUCCAUUUUGCAGCGGAAUAAUCGGUUAGUUUUGAUAUUCCCUUAUUGCUAU
Molecule: long non-coding RNA, 1099 nt
Organism: Mytilus trossulus (common blue mussel)
Lineage: Eukaryota; Metazoa; Mollusca; Bivalvia; Mytilida; Mytilidae
Exons: 3
Source: RefSeq, a predicted model, not a curated record